AGUCACACACACAGGCUAGUGUCUCCGGUUUUCUCUGCCCUUAUUUGCACUGCCUGGGUAAUGAUGAUGGUGAGCGUGUCGUAGGGUGUCCUCAAGUGGCUUCUUUCACUGCUGCCUGUUUGAGCUUAUUAGUUAGUGCCCUUCUGUACAGUCAUUGAUGCCAGUCCUCGGGACAUAUGCUGGAUGUACAGGGCUCGUGGCCCGGUCCCUGCAGAGUAACACCUCCCCCUGUAGGAUCAAGGCGAGGACAUCAACCCAGAAACCUCGAAUGCCUGGCUGAAUUUAAAUGGAGGCUCCUGAGAUUGUUUCAUCAGACUGGAGGAUACUUCUCCAAGAAGUAAGAUCUUUGUCCACGUAUGCAGCCUAAAACCGACGUCUGUCUGUCUGUUGUGUGGCAGGUUUGGAGACUUGCCGAGCCCAGGCUUUCAGGUUACGUGGAAGUCAGACUCAUUUUAAAGAUGGAUAUAGGUCUGUUUUUACCUAUUUCCUUCCAGUGCCUUCGCGGGGCCUUUUUUUUUGGCUGUUGUCCUGGGAUGCAGUUCGUACGUUUCAUGCCAAAGUACGUUCAUCCCUCCGAGACAGAACGAGUCUCCUUCCUAAGCGGUGCGAUGGCUGUGUGGUCCCGUGGUAUUCAUGCCUUCGUGGUAUUGUUUGUGCCGAUAAAUGUGGUACCUUCAGGCAUUUGGAAAUUCCUCCAAAAGAUGAGCCAGACUUUGUCUUUUUUUUUUUUCUUUUGCGGUUGUUGCUGAUUUCUUUUAAAAUGGUUUGAUUUGAAAGAGGUAUUGAGCAUAUUGUGCAUUUAACUCUUUAACACAUUUAUCGGGACGCUGUUGUUUUCACAGUAGAUUAAAACUAAUUAAAUAAUGAAUCAUACAAAACACAAUGAAUGUAAAUUAGGCCACAGGCCACCUGAUAUACUUAAAAAAAUAUUAAAAUGAGCUAUAAUAUUUAAAUACUACCUACUAUUCUAUAAUAAUGAUAAUAAUGAUGAAUUAAUAUAAUAGUAUUUGAAGCUUAAACAGCGUCUGAGCCAUUUUGCGUCAUACUUUUUGUACAGAUUUGUCUGAUACAUAUUGUUACUGACAUAAAGUUUGGAAUUUUCACUGUAACAGCAUUUUUUAACUGUCCUGUUACCACUUUCACAAAGAAUACUCUCAUGCCUCUGAAUAAAGAUUAGUCUGACUGGUCAUACAGUUUGGUUUUGUUGUUGGUGCUCUAACAAAAGUCGUCAUUGACAAAUGUUCGCCCUAAACCACGCACGAAAAUAGCAUCGCCCCUGCCGGGGUGAUUUCGCAGCAAACACAAGUGGAUGUCACAAGUCACGGCGCCUCUGGAAAGCCCGUGGAACUAUUUCAUCACGGUGAACAUGGGGAUUUUAUCAAUGUUAAAUAAAUAAUUAAAUGAACUGCAGU
Molecule: long non-coding RNA, 1412 nt
Organism: Mugil cephalus (flathead mullet)
Lineage: Eukaryota; Metazoa; Chordata; Actinopteri; Mugiliformes; Mugilidae
Exons: 3
Source: RefSeq, a predicted model, not a curated record